This 673-nucleotide ribosomal RNA is filed under the name Nigrospora sp. CC1. RNAcentral describes it as "eukaryotic LSU rRNA". The stretch from base 158 to 311 matches the Rfam family "5.8S ribosomal RNA". The record is from RNAcentral. Lineage: Eukaryota; Fungi; Ascomycota; Sordariomycetes; Amphisphaeriales; Apiosporaceae.
GGGGCAUGAAGCGUUCGACUCCUAACCCAUGUGAACAUAUCUCUUUGUUGCCUCGGCGCAAGCUACCCGGGACCUCGCGCCCCGUGCGGCCCGCCGGCGGACAAACCAAACUCUGUUAUCUUCGUUGAUUAUCUGAGUGUCUUAUUUAAUAAGUCAAAACUUUCAACAACGGAUCUCUUGGUUCUGGCAUCGAUGAAGAACGCAGCGAAAUGCGAUAAGUAAUGUGAAUUGCAGAAUUCAGUGAAUCAUCGAAUCUUUGAACGCACAUUGCGCCCAUUAGUAUUCUAGUGGGCAUGCCUGUUCGAGCGUCAUUUCAACCCCUAAGCACAGCUUAUUGUUGGGCGUCUACGUCUGUAGUGCCUCAAAGACAUUGGCGGAGCGGCAGCAGUCCUCUGAGCGUAGUAAUUCUUUAUCUCGCUUCUGUUAGGCGCUGCCCCCCCGGCCGUAAAACCCCCAAUUUUUUGUGGUUGACCUCGGAUCAGGUAGGAAUACCCGCUGAGCUUAAGCAGAUCGAUAAGCGGAGGAAAGCAGAGACUUUUUUCUCACCCGUGACGUGUUAUUUACUCUAUAGUAAGAACGGGAAGCAGAAAGAGGAAACAAGCGCCUCGCAUCCAGCUUAACGAAAUGACGACAACUUUGCCGUAACUCCUACGCCCGAAACAAAACACGCUUU